AUUGAACGCUGGCGGCAGGCCUAACACAUGCAAGUCGAGCGGUAGCACGGAGAAGCUUGCUUCUUGGGUGACGAGCGGCGGACGGGUGAGUAACGCGUGGGAAUCUACCUGGUAGUGGGGGACAACAGUCGGAAACGACUGCUAAUACCGCAUACGCCCCUUGGGGGAAAGUGGGGGAUCUUCAGACCUCACGCUAUCAGAAGAGCCCGCGUCGGAUUAGCUGGGUGGUGGGGUAAGAGCCCACCAGGGCGAUGAUCCGUAGCUGGUCUGAGAGGAUGACCAGCCACACUGGGACUGACACACGGCCCACACUCCUACGGGAGGCAGCAGUGGGGAAUAUUGGACAAUGGGGGCAACCCUGAUCCAGCCAUGCCGCGUGUGUGAAGAAGGCCUUCGGGUUGUAAAGCACUUUCAGCUGUGAGGAAAGGUGAGUGGUUAAUACCCGCUUACUGUGACGUUAACAGCAGAAGAAGGACCGGCUAACUCCGUGCCAGCAGCCGCGGUAAUACGGAGGGUCCGAGCGUUAAUCGGAAUUACUGGGCGUAAAGCGCGCGUAGGUGGUUCAGUCAGUCAGAUGUG
RNAcentral lists this ribosomal RNA (579 nucleotides) under uncultured bacterium. RNAcentral describes it as "bacterial SSU rRNA". It matches the Rfam family "Bacterial small subunit ribosomal RNA", at positions 28 to 596 of the family's 1533-position model. The record is from RNAcentral.